Molecule: ribosomal RNA, 408 nt
Filed under: uncultured bacterium
Lineage: Bacteria
Description: partial 16S ribosomal RNA
Rfam family: Bacterial small subunit ribosomal RNA
Source: RNAcentral
GACGAACGCUGGCGGCGUGCUUAACACAUGCAAGUCGAACGAAGUGGCGAACGGGUGAGUAAUACGUGAGUAACCUGCCCUCCUUUUUGGGAUAAGCCUUGGAAACGGGGUCUAAUACCGGAUAAAGGGGGAUGGGCUCGUGGCCUAUCAGUUUGUUGGUGGGGGGAUGGCCUACCAAGGCGGUGACGGGUAGCCGGCCUGAGAGGGUGGCCGGCCACAUUGGGAUUGAGAUCCGGCCCAGACUCCUACGGGGGGCAGCAGUUGGGGAUAUUGCACAAUGGGCGAAAGCCUGAUGCAGCGACGCCGCGUGGGGGAUGAAGGCUUUCGGGUUGUAAACCUCUUUCGCUUUCGAACGGGUAGGUGGAGAAGAAGCGCCGGCUAACUACGUGCCAGCAGCCGCGGUAAUAC